RNAcentral lists this ribosomal RNA (266 nucleotides) under uncultured bacterium. RNAcentral describes it as "partial 16S ribosomal RNA". It matches the Rfam family "Bacterial small subunit ribosomal RNA", at positions 524 to 794 of the family's 1533-position model. The record is from RNAcentral.
UACGUAGGGUGCGAGCGUUAAUCGGAAUUACUGGGCGUAAAGCGUGCGCAGGCGGUUUUGUAAGUCAGAUGUGAAAUCCCCGGGCUCAACCUGGGAACUGCAUUUGAGACUGCAAAGCUAGAGUGUGGCAGAGGGGGUGAAUUCCACGUGUAGCAGUGAAAUGCGUAGAGAUGUGGAGGAACACCGAUGGCGAAGGCAGCCCCUGGGCCAUACUGACGCUCAUGCACGAAAGCGUGGGUAGCAAACAGGAUUAGACUACCGGUAGU